RNAcentral lists this non-coding RNA (46 nucleotides) under Sporichthya polymorpha DSM 43042. RNAcentral describes it as "L31-Actinobacteria ribosomal protein leader". It matches the Rfam family "L31-Actinobacteria ribosomal protein leader". The record is from RNAcentral. Lineage: Bacteria; Bacillati; Actinomycetota; Actinomycetes; Sporichthyales; Sporichthyaceae.
CCGGUUCCGGUUCACGCCCCGUGACCAGCGGUGGCGACCCGGAGCC